AGCGCAUACGGUGGAUGCCUUGGCAGUCAGAGGCGAUGAAAGACGUGGUAGCCUGCGAUAAGCUUUGGGGAGUCGGCAAACAGACUGUGAUCCAGAGAUCUCUGAAUGGGGGAACCCAGCCAGCAUAAGCUGGUUAUCUUGUACUGAAUACAUAGGUGCAAGAGGCGAACCAGGGGAACUGAAACAUCUAAGUACCCUGAGGAAAAGAAAUCAACCGAGAUUCCCUUAGUAGUGGCGAGCGAACGGGGACCAGCCCUUAAGUUGAUUUGAGAUUAGUGGAACGCUCUGGAAAGUGCGGCCAUAGUGGGUGAUAGCCCCGUACACGAAAAUCUCUUGUCAAUGAAAUCGAGUAGGACGGAGCACGAGAAACUUUGUCUGAAUAUGGGGGGACCAUCCUCCAAGGCUAAAUACUACUGACUGACCGAUAGUGAACCAGUACCGUGAGGGAAAGGCGAAAAGAACCCCGGAGAGGGGAGUGAAAUAGAACCUGAAACCGUAUGCGUACAAGCAGUGGGAGCCUACUUUGUUAGGUGACUGCGUACCUUUUGUAUAAUGGGUCAGCGACUUAUAUUCAGUGGCGAGCUUAACCGAAUAGGGGAGGCGUAGCGAAAGCGAGUCUUAAUAGGGCGUUUAGUCGCUGGGUAUAGACCCGAAACCGGGCGAUCUAUCCAUGGGCAGGUUGAAGGUUAGGUAACACUGACUGGAGGACCGAACCGACUACCGUUGAAAAGUUAGCGGAUGACCUGUGGAUCGGAGUGAAAGGCUAAUCAAGCUCGGAGAUAGCUGGUUCUCCUCGAAAGCUAUUUAGGUAGCGCCUCAUGUAUCACUGUAGGGGGUAGAGCACUGUUUCGGCUAGGGGGUCAUCCCGACUUACCAAACCGAUGCAAACUCCGAAUACCUACAAGUGCCGAGCAUGGGAGACACACGGCGGGUGCUAACGUCCGUCGUGAAAAGGGAAACAACCCAGACCGUCAGCUAAGGUCCCAAAGUCAUGGUUAAGUGGGAAACGAUGUGGGAAGGCUUAGACAGCUAGGAGGUUGGCUUAGAAGCAGCCACCCUUUAAAGAAAGCGUAAUAGCUCACUAGUCGAGUCGGCCUGCGCGGAAGAUGUAACGGGGCUCAAACCAUGCACCGAAGCUACGGGUAUCAUCUUAUGAUGAUGCGGUAGAGGAGCGUUCUGUAAGCCUGUGAAGGUGAGUUGAGAAGCUUGCUGGAGGUAUCAGAAGUGCGAAUGCUGACAUGAGUAACGACAAUGCGAGUGAAAAACUCGCACGCCGAAAGACCAAGGUUUCCUGCGCAACGUUAAUCGACGCAGGGUUAGUCGGUCCCUAAGGCGAGGCUGAAAAGCGUAGUCGAUGGAAAACAGGUUAAUAUUCCUGUACUUCCAGUUAUUGCGAUGGAGGGACGGAGAAGGUUAGGCCAGCCUGGCGUUGGUUGUCCAGGUUUAAGGUGGUAGGCUGAAAUCUUAGGCAAAUCCGGGAUUUCAAGGCCGAGAGCUGAUGACGAGUUGCCUUCAGGCGACGAAGUGGUUGAUACCAUGCUUCCAAGAAAAGCUCCUAAGCUUCAGAUAACUGGGAACCGUACCCCAAACCGACACAGGUGGUUAGGUAGAGAAUACCAAGGCGCUUGAGAGAACUCGGGUGAAGGAACUAGGCAAAAUGGCACCGUAACUUCGGGAGAAGGUGCGCCGGCGAGGGUGAAGGACUUGCUCCGUAAGCCCAUGCCGGUCGAAGAUACCAGGCCGCUGCGACUGUUUAUUAAAAACACAGCACUCUGCAAACACGAAAGUGGACGUAUAGGGUGUGACGCCUGCCCGGUGCCGGAAGGUUAAUUGAUGGGGUUAGCGCAAGCGAAGCUCUUGAUCGAAGCCCCGGUAAACGGCGGCCGUAACUAUAACGGUCCUAAGGUAGCGAAAUUCCUUGUCGGGUAAGUUCCGACCUGCACGAAUGGCGUAACGAUGGCGGCGCUGUCUCCACCCGAGACUCAGUGAAAUUGAAAUCGCUGUGAAGAUGCAGUGUAUCCGCGGCUAGACGGAAAGACCCCGUGAACCUUUACUAUAGCUUUGCACUGGACUUUGAAUUUGCUUGUGUAG
Molecule: ribosomal RNA, 2091 nt
Filed under: Pseudomonas sp. GTC 16473
Lineage: Bacteria; Pseudomonadati; Pseudomonadota; Gammaproteobacteria; Pseudomonadales; Pseudomonadaceae
Also listed under: 1 other name
Description: bacterial LSU rRNA
Rfam family: Bacterial large subunit ribosomal RNA
Source: RNAcentral